UACGUAGGGUGCAAGCGUUGUCCGGAAUUAUUGGGCGUAAAGAGCUCGUAGGCGGUCUGUCGCGUCGGCUGUGAAAUCCCGAGGCUCAACCUCGGGUCUGCAGUCGAUACGGGCAAACUGGAGUGCUGCAGGGGAGACUGGAAUUCCUGGUGUAGCGGUGAAAUGCGCAGAUAUCAGGAGGAACACCGGUGGCGAAGGCGGGUCUCUGGGCCGAUAUCGACGCUGAGGAGCGAAAGCGUGGGGAGCGAACAGG
Molecule: ribosomal RNA, 253 nt
Filed under: uncultured bacterium
Lineage: Bacteria
Description: partial 16S ribosomal RNA
Rfam family: Bacterial small subunit ribosomal RNA
Source: RNAcentral